CUGCUGCCUCCCGUAGGAGUCUGGUCCGUGUCUCAGUACCAGUGUGGGGGACCUUCCUCUCAGAACCCCUACGCAUCGUCGCCUUGGUGGGCCGUUACCCCGCCAACAAGCUAAUGCGACGCAUGACCAUCCGUAGCCGGAAUCGCUUCCUUUAAACCCACAGAGAUGCCUCCAUGGGUUGUUACGCGGUAUUAGACGGAAUUUCUUCCGCUUACUCCCCCUGCUACGGGCAGGUUUCAUACGUGUUACUCACCCGUGCGCCGGUCGCCGG
RNAcentral lists this ribosomal RNA (271 nucleotides) under uncultured bacterium. RNAcentral's name for it is "partial 16S ribosomal RNA". The record is from RNAcentral.